Molecule: unclassified non-coding RNA, 327 nt
Filed under: fungal sp.
Lineage: Eukaryota; Fungi
Description: partial internal transcribed spacer region
Source: RNAcentral
AAGUCGUAACAAGGUUUCCGUAGGUGAACACGUAUCCAACGUUAAAACCCCCGUGAACCUUUAUUGUGGCACGCCUAUCCGUUAGAAGUGGCAAUCCUGGUAAAUCAUCGCCGAACAGUUUUGAUUCACUGCGCGAGCAAGAGUGGCCUGGCAUCCCUCUGCUUGUUAGUGUCUGAAAGUGUCACUGGUGGCGCAAUCACGAUCGCUAGAGGCCAACACGGCCGGCGACCGGGUCAAUGGGCCCUCGGCCCCCUAAUCACCUUUGCAUGAAAACGGGCCUGCGCUUAAUUGUGCGGCCACCUCCAACAACAGAUAUCAUUGGUUCUC